GCCCCGCCCCCACCUCGGGCUCUGGGCAGGAAACACCUAUGCCCCACGAACACCCACAUCCUCUGCCGAGCCCUGGAUGGGCUUCCUGACUCGGGGUGCGCAGCUUCCCGUUUCUUUGAGCUUCGGUUUCCUCAUCUGGAGGGAGUCAUCUGUCAGCUCUGUGGAUGGGUCCCGGGUUGAGCCACAGAGGCUGUGUGGUCCACUGUGCUGGCCUUAAGGAUGGAUGAGGGGAAAGCAGUCCCCAGAGGCAAGGUGCUCUCGGUCAGAGUCGCACAGCUUGGCCACGGCGAUGUGAUACAGCUAUAUCUCUCUCAUGCGUGCCUGAGGGUGAGGGCGGGUGGCAGCCCCUUAGUUGUAGUCUUUGUUUGCAGGUGGCUGGAGCCCUGGGCAGGCUUUUGGCAGAGAGAAACACGUGGCCGUUUGAGAGUUCACUGUUCACUGGAACCUGUGAGGGAGAACUGUGGGUACCUGCUGCCCACAUGCACUAGACACGAGGUAGCUGCCACGCAGGUCCCCGUCUGCUCUGUGCCUCGUUUCCCAGGUGUAGAUCUGAUGUGAGCACCACCUCGUGGUUUUAGAGGGCAGCUUCUAUCAUUGGCCACCCCCAAGGGUCACUGGGACAAUGGUAUCUGCUUCUGGCCACACAAAAGACUUUGUUCAAGGUCACAGCUUGGGUGAGCUGGGACUAGCCCAGCCCCUCCAGGCAUUCCUGUGGAGGAAGGAAGGGUGUGGGUAGAGGGCUGUGGUCCUGGGGUGAGGAGGUCUUGUGGGCAGGAGGCAGCGAGUGAGCUGCUCUGCCCUGCUGGGCACUAUCCUUUGUGAAGGAGCUGUCACACUGGUCUGGAGCUCAGGGACCUGGACCCUUGUCCCUGUCCCUACAGUGAUGGAUGUGAAACAGAUGGGCUUAGUCAUGGACCCAUGGAAGACUCCCUAGAUUUUCCCUAAGCAGCAGCAGCAGCAGCCACCAAGUCAGUCUGAAGCCUAGUUGUCCCCUGCGUUACCCCGAGAUAGCCUCCACAGGAAAUACAAGCCCAGAGAGGGACAUGACUAAUCAGGAGCCACACAGCUAACAAGAGACCCACUUCAUGACCCCACCCCCACCCCCCAGGCUUUGACUUGGCAGCUGUGAAUGGGGUAGAAGGGUAGGUGAGUCCUUCUGGGGAAGGUUUCCCAGGGGAAGGCUUGAAUAUGUUCUAGGUCUUGGCUGUGGCCAGUCUGUUGGGGGGAGGGGGUGUCUUACUUUAGCUCUGCUGCAUGCUGUGUGACCUUGAGAAAGAGAACAAACUGCUCUGUGUUUGUUUCCCCUACACACAGGAUGCAGAUCUUCACAACGCUUAUGUCCAAGGGUUCUGGUGAGAACAGAAUGAAGUAGCUGCACUGCGGCACACUCUGUGCUCACUGAAGAACAUGGAGGGGGUGCACACACCUGUGAUACCAUGUGGCAGAAGGAAACCAUCUGCCAGUGGUACUUAGGGAGCAUGGAGAGCCCAAGGCUGGGGUGUGGCCCCAGUGGCACCCUGGGGAGCCACCCCUCGCACCUGUGACAAGAGAGAGGCUGGAGAUGCAGAAGAGUCUGAGACCAUCUGAAGGAAUCCUGUGGAUCUGCUAAUAAACAUGCAAAGGGGAAGCUUCACGGCCCUGGGCAAGGACUAGCAGCGUCUACACAUGUGCUGCCUGCUGCAUAGGGCUUUGCUCAGAGCCUCCGUGCUUCCCCGACUGGGAGUGCUACUCUGACACACCCCCUCAAUGUCUGUGGCUUGGCGCAGGCAUAAAAAAAAAUCAAACCACUGUCCCCUGAACUGCUCAAGAUCCUCUGCUUUUUUUCUUUUCCACUAAGGAGACUAAUAAAUGGCCAGCCACUUGACGUGAUCA
Long non-coding RNA from Mus musculus (house mouse), 1872 nucleotides. RefSeq annotates it as predicted gene, 36223. NCBI's taxonomy places the organism in Eukaryota, Metazoa, Chordata, Mammalia, Rodentia, Muridae. The transcript has 2 exons. The record is from RefSeq and is a predicted model, not a curated record.